UUCCGGUUGAUCCUGCCGGAGGUUACUGCUAUCGGGGUUCGAUUAAGCCAUGCAAGUUAAAUGUUUUUCGUAAACAUAGCGAACUGCUCAGUAACACGUGGAUAACUUAACCUUAGGUCCGGCAUAACCCCGGGAAACUGGGGAUAAUUCCGGAUGUAUCAAGGAUGCUGGAAUGCCCUUUGGUUCAAAGCUUUUGUGCCUAAGGAUAGGUCUGCGGUCUAUCAGGUUGUAGUGGGUGUAACGUACCUACUAGCCGACGACGGAUACGGGUUGUGAGAGCAAGAGCCCGGAGAUGGAUUCUGAGACAAGAAUCCAGGCCCUACGGGGUGCAGCAGGCGCGAACACUUUACAAUGCGGGAAACCGCGAUAAGGGAACCCCGAGUGCCAGUACUAAGUGCUGGCUGUCUAGAUGAAUAGAUAUCAUUUAAUAGCAAGGGCCGGGCAAGACCGGUGCCAGCCGCCGCGGUAACACCGGCGGCCCGAGUGGUAACCGAUAUUAUUGGGUCUAAAGGGUCCGUAGCCUGUUUAAUAAGUCCUUUGGGAAAUCUGGCAGCUUAACUGUCAGGCUGCUAAAGGAUACUGUUAAACUUGGGACCGGUAGACGUAGGGGGUACUCCAGGGGUAGGAGUGAAAUCUUGUAAUCCCUGGGGGACCAUCUGUGGCGAAGGCGCCCUACGAGAACGGGUCCGACGGUGAGGGACGAAAGCUAGGGGAGCAAACCGGAUUAGAUACCCGGGUAGUCCUAGCUGUAAACGAUGCUCGCUAGGUGUCAGGCACGGUGCGUCCGUGUCUGGUGCCGCAGGGAAGCCGUUAAGCGAGCCACCUGGGGAGUACGGUCGCAAGGCUGAAACUUAAAGGAAUUGGCGGGGGAGCACUACAACGGGUGGAGCCUGCGGUUUAAUUGGAUUCAACGCCGGA
RNAcentral lists this ribosomal RNA (918 nucleotides) under uncultured archaeon. RNAcentral describes it as "bacterial SSU rRNA". It matches the Rfam family "Archaeal small subunit ribosomal RNA", at positions 1 to 922 of the family's 1478-position model. The record is from RNAcentral.